AUGGUGGACACACCCAAAGAAAAUAAUGACGAGGAUCAAAAGGAUGCAACGGAGGACGAUCCUCUUGAGACGCAACCCAAGCGCCGACGUCAGCGGCGCCGCUCUAAAUCCUGCCAUAGCAAAAACAGCGGUACCGGCACCAGAGACAAUAACACUUCGGAUGAUGCCGAAGACAAAAACAAUCCCACCCAGCCAAGCUUCGAGCGGGCUAGACAGGAGGAUGGGCAAGCUAGCCCUGAUGAACAGGCAAUGGACGGAGACUCAGAGGAUGACAAUUACAAGCCCCUCUCCGAAGACGAGGUAAGCCUCGACGACGAUGAGUUUAUCGUGCCUGAGGAUCCCGUCGAGCAGGAGCGCUUCAAGCGCCGGCUUAUAGCCACUGCAAAGAGCCUGAAGAAAAAAGCAACAACUUAUAGCUGA
RNAcentral lists this ribosomal RNA (420 nucleotides) under Triticum aestivum (bread wheat). RNAcentral describes it as "partial small subunit ribosomal RNA". The record is from RNAcentral. Lineage: Eukaryota; Viridiplantae; Streptophyta; Magnoliopsida; Poales; Poaceae.